This 403-nucleotide ribosomal RNA is filed under the name uncultured bacterium. RNAcentral's name for it is "bacterial SSU rRNA". It matches the Rfam family "Bacterial small subunit ribosomal RNA", at positions 355 to 775 of the family's 1533-position model. The record is from RNAcentral.
UGGGGAAUAUUGGACAAUGGGGGCAACCCUGAUCCAGCAACGCCGCGUGAAUGAUGAAGGCCUUCGGGUCGUAAAGUUCUUUUAGCAGGGAAGAAAAUGACGGUACCUGCAGAAUAAGCACCGGCUAACUUCGUGCCAGCAGCCGCGGUAAUACGAAGGGUGCUAGCGUUGUUCGGAAUUACUGGGCGUAAAGCGUGCGUAGGUUGUUUGGUUAGUUAGUGGUGAAAGCCCAGAGCUUAACUCUGGAAUUGCCAUUAAAACUGCCAAGCUAGAGAGUGUUAGAGGUGAGUGGAAUUUCUAGUGUAGGAGUGAAAUCCGUAGAUAUUAGAAGGAACAUCAAUGGCGAAGGCAGCUCACUGGGUCACAUCUGACACUGAGGCACGAAAGCGUGGGUAGCAAACAG